This 253-nucleotide ribosomal RNA is filed under the name uncultured bacterium. RNAcentral describes it as "partial 16S ribosomal RNA". It matches the Rfam family "Bacterial small subunit ribosomal RNA", at positions 524 to 776 of the family's 1533-position model. The record is from RNAcentral.
UACGGAGGGGGCUAGCGUUGUUCGGAAUUACUGGGCGUAAAGCGCACGUAGGCGGCUUUGCAAGUUAGAGGUGAAAGCCCGGGGCUCAACUCCGGAAUUGCCUUUAAAACUGCAUCGCUAGAAUUGUGGAGAGGUAAGUGGAAUUCCGAGUGUAGAGGUGAAAUUCGUAGAUAUUCGGAAAAACACCAGUGGCGAAGGCGACUUACUGGACACAUAUUGACGCUGAGGCGCGAAAGCGUGGGGAGCAAACAGG